This 213-nucleotide ribosomal RNA is filed under the name Vibrio parahaemolyticus. RNAcentral describes it as "partial 16S ribosomal RNA". It matches the Rfam family "Bacterial small subunit ribosomal RNA", at positions 1321 to 1533 of the family's 1533-position model. The record is from RNAcentral. Lineage: Bacteria; Pseudomonadati; Pseudomonadota; Gammaproteobacteria; Vibrionales; Vibrionaceae.
UGAAGUCGGAAUCGCUAGUAAUCGUGGAUCAGAAUGCCACGGUGAAUACGUUCCCGGGCCUUGUACACACCGCCCGUCACACCAUGGGAGUGGGCUGCAAAAGAAGUAGGUAGUUUAACCUUCGGGGGGACGCUUACCACUUUGUGGUUCAUGACUGGGGUGAAGUCGUAACAAGGUAGCGCUAGGGGAACCUGGCGCUGGAUCACCUCCUUA